This is an RNA transcript of Manis pentadactyla (Chinese pangolin), 2387 nucleotides long. It is a transcript of the gene named asteroid homolog 1, with no coding region annotated. The transcript has 4 exons. NCBI's taxonomy places the organism in Eukaryota, Metazoa, Chordata, Mammalia, Pholidota, Manidae. The record is from RefSeq and is a predicted model, not a curated record.
GACAGGUGUACAGAUACAAGUAGUGUUCAGAAUAGUACCAUACUGCUCACAUAGAUGCGGCCAAGACGUGAAGUGCAAGGGGACACCCAAAACUCUGUAAUCAAGUUUAUUAGACUCCAUGAAACUACUGAGUAUGUGCCUUAUAACACAUAGAGAAAAGAGAAUGAAUAGCUGGUGUUGCCUCGGGAUCUAGGUAAGAAUUGAGAUGCUGACACCAAGUAUGUGCUGUUUAAAGAGCUCUUUAUAACAUUAUCAUCAAUCUGAAUGUAGUGGAAACAAUGACUUGGUUCCUAUAACUAGCAUCAGUUGAAAGUGUGUCUGUUGUUUUAAACAGGCAAUUCUUCAGAUAGUCAUCAUGGGUAUCCGAGGACUUAUGAGUUUUGUGGAGGAUCAUAGUAAUGAGUUCUUCACUGAUUUGAAGCUGCAAGACACAAAAAUCAUCAUUGAUGGCUAUGCACUCUUUCACCGCCUUUGCUUCAGUUCAAACUUGGAGCUUCAGUAUGGAGGGGACUAUGAUUCUUUUGCAGAUGUUGUACAAAAAUUCUUUGAAUCACUGUUUGCUUGUAAUAUAUGUCCAUAUGUUGUAUUAGAUGGUGGAUGUGACAUUUCAGAUAAAAAGCUUACAACAUUAAAGGAUCGAGCUAGAGAGAAGAUCCAGAUGGCCCAUUCCCUUUCUGUUGGUGGGGGUGGGUACGUAUGUCCCUUACUCAUCCGGGAAGUGUUCAUUCAGGUUUUGAUCAAGCUGCAGGUGUGUUUUGUCCAGUGCUUUUCAGAAGCAGAUCGGGACAUUAUGACAUUGGCUAAUUACUGGAAUUGUCCUGUGUUAUCAUCAGAUAGUGACUUUUGCAUUUUUGACCUGAAAAUUGGGUUUUGUCCAUUGAAUAGCUUUCAGUGGAGAAACAUGAACACUAUUAAGGGCACACAAGACUACUAUAUCCCAGCCAAAUGCUUUUCCCUUGAUGCACUCUGCCGCCACUUCAGCAAUAUGAAUAAAGCUCUACUACCUCUCUUUGCUGUGCUGUGUGGAAAUGACCAUGUUAAUCUGCCUGUCGUGGAGACAUUCUUAAGUAAAGUACGUCUUCCUCUUGGAGGUACCAGUUCUAAGGGGAGAAGACACCACCGAAUUCUGGGACUUCUGAAUUGGCUGUCUCAUUUUGCUGACCCUACUGAAGCACUAGACAAUGUUCUGAAGUAUCUCCCAAAAAAGGAUCAAGAAAAUGUUAAGGAACUUCUGUGCUGUUUCAUGGAAGAAUACCAGCAGUCCCAGGUGAAGCUGCAGGACUUCUUCCAGUAUGGCACUUAUGCCUGUCCGGAUGCCCUGAAUCUGGGUUUACCAGAAUGGGUACUAGUGGCUUUGGCCAAAGGCCAGCUGUCUCCUUUCAUCAGCGAUGCUUUGGUGCUAAGACGGACCAUUCUUCACACACAGGUGGAAAACAUGCAGCGUCCAAAUGCCCACAGAAUAUCUCUGCCCAUCCGACAAAUCAUCUAUGGGCUGCUUUUGAAUGCUUCUCCACAUCUGGAAAACAUUUCCUGGAAUGCAUCGUCUCCUCAGCCUCUAGCUUUCAGUGAAGUGGAAAGGAUUAAUAAAAAUAUCAAAACAUCAAUUGUUGAUGCAGUAGAACUCGCCAAGGAUCAUUCUGAUUUGAACAAAUUGACUGAGGUUACCAACUCCGUUCUCGGCUGUGAACACAUCUGUUGACUAAAACUAAGUGUUAGGUGCUGAGAAAUAUGUCAGACUGUCUCAUUCUUCCAGAAGGUCAAGAAAGAAAUCUUUUUCUGGCUGUGUGCAGACACUAGGAAUACAACUAUUUUUUUCUUUUAAAAUCCUACAAAGUCCCCUUGGAGAUGCCCUUUCCAUAGCCGUAAUUUACGUACCUGUGAAAUGUCUGACUUGUAAGGUCCUUGUAGUUCUUAAGUCUUAAGAUUCAUUAAGGUAAAAUUAUCUCAGUAAGUCCAAAGCCCUCGUAGCUUCUGCUUGCUCUUACUUGAAAUGCACCCUCUUUUCAUGGAGUGAAAGUGAGUGUGUUGUGUUGUUGCAAACACAAUGCAGACAGUCCUUUAAAUAUUUGUCUCCCUUAAGUAUCCCUCAUCUACAGGCAGCCACCCAAGACAAUCCCUGUGUGGGAGAACACGGGCAACAGGACACUGAGCUGGGUAGGGGCAUGAGACAGGACCCAAACAAGCGGAAGCUGCAUGACAUGCCACAAAGGAUGCAGAUGAUCUAAGUCUGCUUUCUUCUGGAGGUGAUCAGUAGUGACAUCACGGAGAAGCUCUCCUUGGCUAGACGGCAGAUACUUCUGUUAGAAACACUGAAGGUGAAACAGCGCAUCCUGGACCCCGUCCCUGAUACAUUGAAGUUGCCCAUUGCUAUCAGUUGCUACUGGUUG